This is a long non-coding RNA of Sapajus apella (tufted capuchin), 575 nucleotides long. RefSeq lists it as uncharacterized. Lineage: Eukaryota; Metazoa; Chordata; Mammalia; Primates; Cebidae. The transcript has 3 exons. The record is from RefSeq and is a predicted model, not a curated record.
CUUGAACAACACAAUGGGUAGGGGUACUGAUCCCUUGCACAAUAAAAACCCAGCAUAUACCUUUUGACUCCCCAAAAUGUAAACUAAUCACCUGCAGGUGACCAGAAGCCUUACUAAUAACAGCAACUGUCAAUUAACAUACAUUUUGUGUAUUAUAUACAUUUAUAUUCUAUAUUCCUACAAUAAAAUAAGCUAGAGAAAAGAAAACGUUAUUAAGAAAAAUCAUAAUACUUAACUAUUUAUUAAGUGAAAGUAGGUCAUCAUAAAGGACUUCAUCCUUUUCCUCAAAUUUAUAGACUGAAUAGUAGGAGGAGGAGGAAGAGGAGAGUUGGUCUUGCUAUCUCAGGAGUGGCUGAGGUGGAAAAAAAUCUGAAUACAAGUGGACCUGCAAACCUGUGUAGCUCACAGCCCGAGUACAAAACUGGUGUACAAAUAUCACAAAGAGUGGGAAAAAGAAUGAAUGCUGCCUGCUUAUGUCGCAAGGGUGGUAGAAGCCUGGUAGAAGGGGACAAGAGAGUACCUCAGGGAGCUGGCUGGCAAAAAGAGCAAGGAAUUAUCUGAAACAGGAAUGUGAG